AACGAACGCUGGCGGCAGGCCUAACACAUGCAAGUCGAGCGCGCCUUCGGGUGAGCGGCGGCCGGGUGAGUACCGCGUGGGAAUAUGCCCUUCUCUACGGAAUAGUCCUGGGAAACUGGGGGUAAUACCGUAUACGCCCUUUGGGGGAAAGAUUUAUCGGGGAAGGAUUAGCCCGCGUUGGAUUAGGUAGUUGGUGGGGUAAUGGCCUACCAAGCCGACGAUCCAUAGCUGGUUUGAGAGGAUGAUCAGCCACACUGGGACUGAGACACGGCCCAGACUCCUACGGGAGGCAGCAGUGGGGAAUCUUAGACAAUGGGGGCAACCCUGAUCUAGCCAUGCCGCGUGAGUGAUGAAGGCCUUAGGGUUGUAAAGCUCUUUCAGCUGGGAAGAUAAUGACGGUACCAGCAGAAGAAGCCCCGGCUAACUCCGUG
RNAcentral lists this ribosomal RNA (431 nucleotides) under uncultured bacterium. RNAcentral's name for it is "partial 16S ribosomal RNA". It matches the Rfam family "Bacterial small subunit ribosomal RNA", at positions 29 to 507 of the family's 1533-position model. The record is from RNAcentral.